Molecule: long non-coding RNA, 934 nt
Organism: Nyctereutes procyonoides (raccoon dog)
Lineage: Eukaryota; Metazoa; Chordata; Mammalia; Carnivora; Canidae
Exons: 3
Source: RefSeq, a predicted model, not a curated record
AAGGGAGGAAGAUGGAAUGGGAGCUGGGGAUGGGGAGGGGGGAGAGGGAGAGAUGCCCACUUGCCCCAGUCUCUCAGCCUGAGUGACACAGCCUCUAAAUUUGCUGUAUCAGGCCUUCUGGGACUUUCUCCUGGAAAAAUACUUCCAUUCCCACCAACAUUUAUAAAAACGAGACUGUUCCCAUCCCCCUCCUGAUUCCAUCAUAUAAGGGACAAAACCCAGGAUCUCAGGUGGGGCUUCCAGGAGCUCCACACUUGCCAUGUGGAUCCCCCAGGCCCGUGUCCAGGGGACACCUGCAUACUCCCCUUCCCAUCGCCUUCCCAACUGGAUGAAGGGCCGCCCCCACCUUGGGGGCUCUUCCACAUGGCCCCAGGCAGAGUCGGGGCCUUUGUGAUUCUUUUGCCGAACCACUUGUCACCUCUUUCGAACCACUUGGAAUUUCCCCACCACUGGGAAUGAAUGAGAGAGGCAGGCAGGCAGGUGUUCCCUUGAGGGGCCCGGGCUGAUGUUUGCACACCCGUGUUCACAGCGGUGAUUCACAAGAGCUAGAACACGGAAGCAAGGCGGGUGUCCAUCAUCGGAUGAGGGUCUGUCCAUGCAGUGGGUUAUCAUGCAGCCUCAGACAAGAAGGACGUCCUGACACCUGCUGCAGCGCGGACGGACCUGGAGGAGGAGCCAGCCAGUCACCAGAGGACAAGCGGUGUAGGAUUCCAUUGAGAACUUUUGGAAAACACAGAAGAGCCUAGAGAGGAAAAGAAACACGAUUUUAAAGCUCACGAGCCAAGGGGCCGUGGCCACUGAAGAUGGUUUUCUUCAAACAUCACGAGUGUCCGCUUCCGUGUGGAUUGAGCGUGACACCUGCAGCUGGUCCCGGCCUCUGACGGCACCGUGGCCUCCAGGAGGACUCAGGUCUGGAACCCCCCAAGCGUGUUUC